UAAGUAAGCUUUGAUCCAGAGAUUUCCGAAUGGGGAAACCCAGCAUGAGUUAUGUCAUGUUAUCGAUAUGUGAAUACAUAGCAUAUCAGAAGGCACACCCGGAGAACUGAAACAUCUUAGUACCCGGAGGAAGAGAAAGAAAAUUCGAUUCCCUUAGUAGCGGCGAGCGAAACGGGAAGAGCCCAAACCAACAAGCUUGCUUGUUGGGGUUGUAGGACACUCUAUACGGAGUUACAAAGGACGACAUUAGACGAAUCAUCUGGAAAGAUGAAUCAAAGAAGGUAAUAAUCCUGUAGUCGAAAAUGUUGUCUCUCUUGAGUGGAUCCUGAGUACGACGGAGCACGUGAAAUUCCGUCGGAAUCUGGGAGGACCAUCUCCUAAGGCUAAAUACUCUCUAGUGACCGAUAGUGAACCAGUACCGUGAGGGAAAGGUGAAAAGCACCCCGGAAGGGGAGUGAAAUAGAACCUGAAACCGUGUGCUUACAAGUAGUCAGAGCCCGUUAAUGGGUGAUGGCGUGCCUUUUGUAGAAUGAACCGGCGAGUUACGAUUUGAUGCAAGGUUAAGCAGUAAAUGUGGAGCCGUAGCGAAAGCGAGUCUGAAUAGGGCGUUUAGUAUUUGGUCGUAGACCCGAAACCAGGUGAUCUACCCUUGGUCAGGUUGAAGUUCAGGUAACACUGAAUGGAGGACCGAACCGACUUACGUUGAAAAGUGAGCGGAUGAACUGAGGGUAGCGGAGAAAUUCCAAUCGAACCUGGAGAUAGCUGGUUCUCUCCGAAAUAGCUUUAGGGCUAGCCUCAAGUGAUGAUUAUUGGAGGUAGAGCACUGUUUGGACGAGGGGCCCCUCUCGGGUUACCGAAUUCAGACAAACUCCGAAUGCCAAUUAAUUUAACUUGGGAGUCAGAACAUGGGUGAUAAGGUCCAUGUUC
RNAcentral lists this ribosomal RNA (927 nucleotides) under Staphylococcus aureus. Its description in RNAcentral is "partial 23S ribosomal RNA". It matches the Rfam family "Bacterial large subunit ribosomal RNA", at positions 89 to 1012 of the family's 2925-position model. The record is from RNAcentral. Lineage: Bacteria; Bacillati; Bacillota; Bacilli; Caryophanales; Staphylococcaceae.